UUGUGAGCCAGAAAGAUGGCAAUGCAAGCAAUCAUCAGGAGAGAGGGUGACAAAAGAUAUUCAUAUUUAUUGUAGAAAAAAUUCCAAAGAAUAUAGAGGCAAGAAAGGACAGAAUGAGACAAGGGUAUGGGAAGUUGAGGUCCACUACAUGUAUAGAGUGUCUGGGACAACAGGACUCCACUUGAACAACCUGUGAAGUUUUUACUUGAAAGAAACUUAAUGACAGGUAAGAGAAGUAUCCUGGAAAAUCAGAUUGUGGAGGAUGCACAGAAAUUCUGUACCUAGUUCUGAUUAAUUAAGCUUAUAUUAAAGAGGAGCCUCUUUAAAUGACCAUGAGACAU
Long non-coding RNA from Sarcophilus harrisii (Tasmanian devil), 341 nucleotides. RefSeq lists it as uncharacterized. NCBI's taxonomy places the organism in Eukaryota, Metazoa, Chordata, Mammalia, Dasyuromorphia, Dasyuridae. The record is from RefSeq and is a predicted model, not a curated record. The transcript is spliced from 3 exons.